RNAcentral lists this ribosomal RNA (325 nucleotides) under Escherichia coli. RNAcentral's name for it is "bacterial SSU rRNA". It matches the Rfam family "Bacterial small subunit ribosomal RNA", at positions 530 to 854 of the family's 1533-position model. The record is from RNAcentral. Lineage: Bacteria; Pseudomonadati; Pseudomonadota; Gammaproteobacteria; Enterobacterales; Enterobacteriaceae.
GGGUGCAAGCGUUAAUCGGAAUUACUGGGCGUAAAGCGCACGCAGGCGGUUUGUUAAGUCAGAUGUGAAAUCCCCGGGCUCAACCUGGGAACUGCAUCUGAUACUGGCAAGCUUGAGUCUCGUAGAGGGGGGUAGAAUUCCAGGUGUAGCGGUGAAAUGCGUAGAGAUCUGGAGGAAUACCGGUGGCGAAGGCGGCCCCCUAGACGAAGACUGACGCUCAGGUGCGAAAGCGUGGGGAGCAAACAGGAUUAGAUACCCUGGUAGUCCACGCCGUAAACGAUGUCGACUUGGAGGUUGUGCCCUUGAGGCGUGGCUUCCGGAGCUA